Molecule: non-coding RNA, 111 nt
Organism: Picea glauca (white spruce)
Lineage: Eukaryota; Viridiplantae; Streptophyta; Pinopsida; Pinales; Pinaceae
Source: Rfam
GUAGCAAGCUAAGUGAGCUUGAUUGUGGGAAAAACUCCGCAGUUAAGCACGCUUGAGCCAGAGGUGUCUUGGGAUGGGUGACCACCUGAAAAGUCCUGGUUACCGGGUGCA